GACGUGGAGGUACUGCUGGUAACAAGUUCCGGAUGUCACUGGGUCUACCAGUGGCAGCCACUGUGAACUGUGCUGAUAACACUGGAGCCAAGAACCUGUACAUCAUUUCGGUGAAGGGAAUCAAAGGGCGCCUUAACAGGCUUCCCUCUGCCUGUGUUGGUGACAUGGUUAUGGCAACUGUGAAGAAGGGAAAGCCUGACCUCAGGAAGAAGGUGAUGCCAGCUGUCAUUGUGAGGCAGCGCAAGCCAUGGCGCCGAAAGGAUGGUGUCUACAUGUACUUUGAAGGUACAUCUCUUAUCAUGUCAGGGUAGAUUGACUUUGCAAUGAUUUAAUCGUUUGAGCUAUUGCAUGCUUGUAAAAUUUGUGACUUCUUUUCAUUUGAUUUUGGUUCUUUAGAAUGUGCUGUCUUGUAUACUGAGCUAGUGUUCUACUUUGCAAUCAUUUCAUAUUGAUCAACACACUAUAUUUGUUGUCUGCAAUACAUAAUUCUGAGAAGUUAUUAUAUGAAGAUUGAAAUUCUCCGGAAACAAUCUCAGUGCACUAUAUUGAUAACUGGUAGUGUUGCAUCGUGACAUAAAGGAGUGACCUUCCAAUCUGGUCAUUUGUCAGGAGGAAGCAUAGAUGUGCACUGGCCUAAACAGCAUUGUGCAUUCUUCUGGUGUGCAGUGUUACCUGUCUCCUGGCACAUGCUGAAGUAUUAGCGGCACAAUAUCCAGCACUAUGCAUUUGUUCAGAUAGUAUAUUUCCAGUAAUUAUACCUUUCUGCUGGGAGAUAGUCCAUUAUAGAUUUGAGAUCAGGUUUGGAUUGAUAGGUACCAGCUAUGCCUUGAUAACUCAAUUUGGUGUUAUGUACUGUUGCUAUGAGUUAUGUUCUGAGAUGAUAUGUUUUUGCUUUCUUUUGUGUUAUGGACCUCUGUGGUUCAGCAACUUUUUAUACUUUAUUACAUGCUGCUUUUGGUCUUUACUUUUAAAGAUCACACUGACUUGUAGCGCUCAUGCACUAAUGUUCUGUUUAUGUGAUGUUUCAGACAAUGCUGGAGUGAUCGUGAACCCAAAGGGAGAGAUGAAAGGUAUAACCUUGAAAGUUCUGGUGGUUCUAUAUGCAUGUCUAACCUGCAGUAGGAAUAGUUGAAAAGGGCAGAAUAUUAGGAAGCUAUUGUCGAAUAACAUUGUGCUAAUUCAUACUUGCUACGUGAACAGUUUGAAUGAUAUGCAUCUGCAUCGUGCAGGUUCUGCCAUCACUGGACCUAUCGGAAAGGAGUGCGCUGAUCUGUGGCCCAGGAUUGCUAGCGCAGCAAAUGCGAUCGUCUAAUGGAAGCAGCUAGUUGAAGUUUAUCAGUAGCAUU
This 1346-nucleotide long non-coding RNA is filed under the name Setaria viridis. RNAcentral's name for it is "long non-coding RNA (SVIR_LNC001152)". The record is from RNAcentral. Lineage: Eukaryota; Viridiplantae; Streptophyta; Magnoliopsida; Poales; Poaceae.